RNAcentral lists this ribosomal RNA (440 nucleotides) under uncultured bacterium. RNAcentral describes it as "partial 16S ribosomal RNA". It matches the Rfam family "Bacterial small subunit ribosomal RNA", at positions 338 to 795 of the family's 1533-position model. The record is from RNAcentral.
CCUACGGGUGGCAGCAGUGGGGAAUAUUGCACAAUGGGGGAAACCCUGAUGCAGCGACGCCGCGUGAGUGAAGAAGUAAUUCGUUAUGUAAAGCUCUAUCAGCAGGGAAGAAAAUGACGGUACCUGAGUAAGAAGCCCCGGCUAACUACGUGCCAGCAGCCGAGGUAAAACGUAGGGGGCAAGCGGUAUCCGGAUUUACUGGGUGGAAAGGGAGCGUAGACGGCGGGGCAAGUCUGGAGUGAAAGGCGGGGGCUCAAACCCCGGACUGCUCUGGAAACUGGACGGCUGGAGAGCAGGAGAGGUAAGUGGAAGUCCUAGUGUAGCGGUGAAAUGCGUAGAUAUUAGGAGGAACACCAGUGGCGAAGGCGGCUUACUGGACUGUAACUGACGUUGAGGCUCGAAAGCGUGGGGAGCAAACAGGAUUAGAUACCCUAGUAGUC